Ictidomys tridecemlineatus (thirteen-lined ground squirrel) is the source of this 73-nucleotide non-coding RNA. The record is from Rfam. NCBI's taxonomy places the organism in Eukaryota, Metazoa, Chordata, Mammalia, Rodentia, Sciuridae.
UGGGUUGUGGCUUAGCGGUAGAGCAUGCGCCUAAGCAUGUGCAAGGCCCUGGGUUCAAUCCUCAGCAUUAUAU